CCCUUCGGGGAGCGGGUCACUGGCCUCCUAUGUUCCUAACGGUCCUCAUCCGCGAGGGUGGGGAAUCAACCGCUAGGAUCGUUUACUUUGAGGAAAUUAGAGUGUUCAAAGCAGGCGUAACUCGCCUCCGAAUACGUUAGCAUGGGAUAAUGGAAUACGACUUCGGUCUUGUUUCGUUGGUUUCGCUUGGCUGAAGUAAUGAUUGAUAGGGACAGUUGGGGGCAUUAGUAUUUAGUUGUCAGAGGUGAAAUUCUAGGAUUUACUAAAGACUGACCAAUGCGAAAGCAUUUGCCAAGGAUGUUUUCAUUAAUCAAGAACGAAAGUAGGGGGAUCGAAGACGAUCAGAUACCGUCGUAGUCUCUACCGUAAACUAUGCCGACCAGGGAUCCGGAGAGUUUGCAUGGAUGACUCCCCGGGCACCUUGUGAGAAAUCAUAAGUGUUUGGGUUUUGGGGGGAGUAUGGUCGCAAGGCUGAAACUUAAAGGAAUUGACGGAAGGGCACCACCAGGAGUGGAACCUGCGGCUUAAUUUGACUCAACA
This 540-nucleotide ribosomal RNA is filed under the name Vermamoeba vermiformis. Its description in RNAcentral is "SSU rRNA". It matches the Rfam family "Eukaryotic small subunit ribosomal RNA", at positions 668 to 1205 of the family's 1831-position model. Lineage: Eukaryota; Tubulinea; Echinamoebida; Vermamoebidae. The record is from RNAcentral.